Molecule: RNA transcript, 6203 nt
Organism: Pomacea canaliculata
Lineage: Eukaryota; Metazoa; Mollusca; Gastropoda; Architaenioglossa; Ampullariidae
Exons: 4
Source: RefSeq, a predicted model, not a curated record
GCGCUUGCAUGUUUUAGGCACAGGGUUUAUAAUCAGCAUCUGUAGCUGAGAUGCAGUUAGUUACACGAGUUCUCAGACCGAAGUAGGAUGCAAAACUAAUGCCAGUACACACAGUGGACGUGCCUUGGAGUUUUUUCCCAGCGACCGCGCGUGGUGAUAUCAGGCUUUUGCCGACAGGCGCAGGUCGGGACACGCCAUCUCGCCGCGCGCUGUGAUUGGUCGGCUGUGCGCGAGCGUGCGCGCUGAUGACAUCAUACUCCAAAACAAAGUGGCGACCGACUUGUUCACUGCCAUUGCAGGCGCCAAAACUUUACAUACCAUCAUUUGACGAUAUCACUCGAGGUACUGGCUGACCAAAUGCGUCCACUCCAUCCAUGGAGAAGCAGGCAGGCGACGAUCAACAACAUAUAGCUAGCGGCGGUGCCAGCUUGGUGGCUGGCCUGAGUUCCGACAUCAUGGGUGGCAUUGCUUGUGCUACUGGUCGGGGGGCUUCUGGCCGUUCUGGGAGUGUGGUGAGUGACUCUGGGGCUACAAGCACCCCUCCGCGCCAGUCGUCCAAACGGGACAGUGGCUACCACACGGACUGUUCACCGGCCACCUUCUCACCCCUCACUCCUCAGUUUACCUUCGACACUUCCGGCGAAAGUCCGGGAGAGAGGCCCGCCUGUUCUCCGGGACAAGCUUUUCCGGGCCCCUCCCUCAGCCCGGGUGGCCCCCACAAGUCCCGGUUGCCCUGUGACUCAGGGGAUGAGGAUGAGAACAGGACCGAACUUGUCACCACGGGUAACAAACCGACCGGGGUGCCUGACAUCAAGCUCUUCCAGGCGAAAGUAGACCUGGGUACCGUGGCCACCCGGCGCAAAACCACGGCUUCCCCGUUGUUAUCAGAAGAUGACGCCGACGACAAAUGUGAUAUCAGAUGUGUAGGAGCUGCAGCUCGUCUAGGCAGCGUGCAGGAAGAAAAGGAGGAGAGAGAGGAAGUCAGCGUGUAUAAGGUCGGCGAGACAGAGAGCGUUUAUAACAGCGGCGAGACAAAGAGCCAGGAGACAGGGAGUUUCAUGGGUGCACCUGGUGCUGCAGCACAACGCCGAUGCCGCUUAUUCUCCCGCUCUGACUUCAGUCAUGGAGGUGGCCCCUCGCCAGCUCGUUCUGACAUAAAACUCGAUGACGACAACGACGAUGAUGUGUUCGGCGACGACGAGAAGGGAACAGGGGUGGCAUGCAUCGCCUAUCACCACGCUGCGCUUUCCGCCAUCAGACUGCCGGGUGGAGACCGCUUCCGCCCCCUCCUGGCCCGCAGCAUCGCCACCCAAACCCGCACGUUCACUGCCAGCUGAUAGACCAGAUCCUGGCCUGCCCGCAGCCACUACCCGCUUGUGCUCGUGGGAGCGCCGUGCGGAGACUGCGCUACUACUCGGAGGGCGAGGAGACCGCCAGUGUGUCGGUGCUGACGCAGGGUCCCUUGCCGGACCUGGUGCCCAUCACGUACUCGCAGUUUGCCCUCCGCGAGAGGUCGCUGUCGGCGCCGGACCUAGAAAGCCAGCAACGCCAGCGUCUGACGGAGCGCGAGGUGGGGCGCGAGUUGCGCCGCAUCAGUGACGAGUUCCUGAGGACGCACGCCUUCCGCCACGUGCGCCCCGGCGCCCUGGUGAGUGGGCCUCGAUCCACGCGGAGCUGAACACCGUAGCGGCCUUGUUCCUGGGUGGAGCACGCCGCCUCCUAUACCGGAACUUCGCCGGCUACUUCCGGUGCGUCUUCACGUGGACACGACGAGCCGUUCUAGACGCCGAGCGACACGAGGCCGACAGUCCAGUGGACUCCCCCAGGUGAUAACUUGUACGCACUGUAGCCACACCUGUCAUGUCUCGUCGCGUGUUGCCCAAGACGGGCGUCGCACCUCGCCGACUAAAAAGGGGGGCGCGCGUGCUUUGCAUGCAAGGUGGUGCUCGUUGGGGCAUCCUUGACUUCUGUUGCUGGCCGCGAGACUACAGCACCACUGUACCCUUCACUGUUCACCCCGACCCCCAGCCCACCAACACACACCUCGCUCACUUCCUGCCUUCCUGGCUUUUUUGUGCUUCUUCGCCAAGCUGCUCAACAAGAUCCUGCUCUACCGUCUGCCGGUGCCUUGUUCUGCGCUGUAGACUUAGCCACUGUUGCCAUGACGACGACGUCUCCAUAGAACGGUGAGAACUGCACCACCAAGUGGGUGACAUUGCCAUCAGCUCCCCCUCAUCGCCAUCAACAAGCCAGUUCUUGUACCCGUGGCUGCCACAGCGUUGUGACCAAGUGCCAAGACAGGACACAACAAGUUCUGCGCACGUACAUAGAGCUGAGCGCCUUAUUCCAUGCACACACUCUUGUGUCUACCUGGCCACAACCUCCGCAUCAACAAGAGCAGCUAUCGUCCGCUCAGUGUCGGCUACCAAAAUGGCAAGAGCAGCAACACGACUUUGUUUGGACACCUUGUUCGUAUUGUCAAACUCAGUUGUUUUAUUUUGGUGUGGGUUUUUUUCCCCGUGGAAAGGGUGGGGGUAAUGACUAUAGUUAUGGAAGACCUAGCCUGUUAUUGUAAGUGAUUACAAACAUAUGUUAUGUGAUAUGAUGGGGAAAGAGACCAGGCGUGUCUCAGUCCUGUCCAGUUCCCUUGCCGCCGCCCUCCACCCCCUCCUCCACUGAGAUGUGCUGAGUGCUCAAGGACCUAGUUCCUAGGCAGCUCCCAGCUUUACUCACAACUCAGCAUGUCCAGUGGACCUACAGGACAUCCCCAUGCUGGGCUUUCACCCAUUUUGUUUCCUGCAAAACGAUUAUGCAACAAGAGUCAGCGAACGUCCAGUGCUUUUCUUUUUGUGGGGGUAGGGUGGGGUGGGAGAACAGUUGUACAUGUUCUUGGCAUAGGAGACCAGGUUGCAUUGUUAGUUGUGCCCAUUCUAUCUAGCAGCUAGGCACCACAGACCAAGCUAGGAGGUUACCGCCAGAGGGCAGAGUGGUUUCGCGAGAAACACGCGCUGUCAUGGCGUCUGUAGGCAAAGCGUGCCGCCAGCUGCACCUGCACUUUGGCCAUUAAUGUCUAAAAUAGAGGCCACUCUCUGCCAUGUCGGUCUCUGCAUGUUGGCACUAUUGUGAGAGUGAUUUGGGCGGGUGGCAGAUGGAAGGCCAUAGACUAAAGGCGAGUGAGCGGACAUGUUCACAGGUGGGGAAGUUGUUUUACCAGAUUGCUCAUGACCAGAUUUCAUAAAUAUGGUUUCAAAGUUUCUAGUUUUUUAGCCAGAACAUUGGAUUUGUGCCCAUUUAAUUGUAUUUGGUGUAUUCAAAAUAAUGUCAAUGUGUGAAACUGGGUUGGCCUUGUUAACCCAUUUGCAUCAAUCUUUUCUUGGAAAACUUGUUGUUUGGGCUUUUGGCUACCCACGCCUGGCACCACGUUGCAGUUCACUACAGGCACCGACAGCUGGCGUUUGUUGAGCAUAACUUUAGAUGUAGUGCGUGUUAGACACAGAAAAACCAAACCUUUUGUUUUUGUCGAGGACCAUUGGAGAAAGAGACUGCCCGGUCACCAUUGUGAUCAGUGUCUGAAGAACUCCCUGCACCCUGUCCACGGCUGUCAGCGGUUCGGUGACGAUCACAAGACAGCUGUCGCACGCGCGUGCUGCUUUGCUGAUGUGCCGUGCCUGUCUUCUACAACACUCGGUUGCACGAGCUUGUCACCGUGGCCAUGGUCAGCCUAUCCCCGUGCAGCAACCAUCAGCUGGCGUGCGGCUUGGGGGUGGGAGUGGAGGGAGUCUAGCAUGUAACAACACUUGCUUUGGGACAAGAUUGCGCGAGUUGCCAUCUGUCGUUGUUUGGCCACAUUUAUUGUUUUUCGCGUGAUUUCGCGGAUGAGAUGUAAAUGUUAUGAUUUGUGUUCUUGCGUCAAAGAGUAAGCAGAGAUUAUUAAUAUUGACCACUUCUUAGUAUGUACUAUGCUCUACUUGUUGGCAUGAGUUUGUCCAAGAAGCCAUGGACGAACAAGAAACCUUUAACUAUUUUUGUUGUGUUGCCAGUAGAUGACACUCACUCAUUGUGUACUCAGUUCUCUUGCGUAAUUUAUUUCUUGUCACCAAGUGCUCUUGCAUUUGACAGAUCAAAGCAGUUGUUGGCAGCACCUUUUGUUCUUGUGUGAGGACUGUUUUGACCAUGGAUGCUCGUGCUUUGGCACUUGAAAACAAUUUUACAGUUUCCUCAAGACAAAGAAAUAACGUAUUCAUUUAAACUUUUCUGUUUUUCAAGCGAUGCGUAAUCUUAUGUUCAAAGCUCAAAUGUUUUUAAAACAUCAUGUGUUAUUUUUAUAACAUUUUAUGAUUUGGAACAAAUCCUGUUUAAAGAGGAAGUAUUACAAAAUAAUCUAAAACAACACGUUGUGGACACUAGCUUGAGCUAGUAAAUGCAUAGCACAGUGAGUUGAAGCUGUGAUGUAGCAAGCUACUGACAAGCUGUGAUGUAGCAAGCUACUGACAAGCUGUGAUGUAGUACCAAGCUACUGACAAGCUGUGAUGUAGCAAGCUACUGACAAGCUGUGAUGUAGUACAAGCUACUGACAAGCUGUGAUGUAGCAAGCUACUGACAAGCUGUGAUGUAGCAAGCUACUGACAAGCUGUGAUGUAGCACGUUCUCAUCCCUACAAGAUGACAAGGACACAUUCCAAGGCGCCCGCCCCCGCAACGCUUGAGCGGCUCGGUGGAGCGGUCCGGUGGCGCCACGGUUAGCACCUGUCACCAAUACAGUGAAGGUUGGCUGUCCAGGGUUCAAAUCUGGUCUCGGGCACGCUGUUCUUUCUCUGCACGUGGCAUCUGUUUUCAGGGCUGGCUGCCUUGCCGUGAUGUAGCCUUCGUUGCUGACACGGCGUAAAACACAAAUCAGCUCCCCACCCCCUUGCGUCACGUGCCCCUCAGUAUGGCUGACAGCUUGUUGUCCACAAAUAUUGCUUUGUUGUCGUCCACCUCCAGCAAACCUCCAUCGAGACCUCGCUUGUUACCCACCUCGUCCUACGUGGACUUAGUUUUGUAAGGCACAAAGUCAUUUUAAUUUGUUUACUUUUCUUGGAAUCAUCAGGAACGUUCGUUUAUGAUUAGUUAACGACUUUUGGCCUGCGUGUACGGACGUGUCAAUCAUGUUUCUGGUGCCAAAAGGAUGUCGGGCUUCUCGCUCUGGUUACUUUGGUGCCACGCCAGUGCUAGGAGUCCAAGCUCCCGCGCUUCGCUUAUAUUUUUUCUUAAAUAAUUUCUUUUUUUCCUAAUAUUAGGAUUAAUAGGGGAUCCAAAACUGAUCCGUUUAAUUGCGAAAAGCACAUGAUGUCAUGUUGUACGCACGACUGUCGCAUGCUAGCACACAGAACGACCUACAGAAACAACUUUUGGUACAGUUGCAUUUAAAAAUCACAUUCAUGCAAAGCAUUUUGUAAUUUGUGCAUACUGCAAAGUCUCAGAACUGCUGGGAAUUGUAAGAUAAGUCAAAGCAUUAUCUGACCUUGUGUAAUAUCCAGUAUUCCGCUAGCACUUGCGUCACGUGUGGUUGGACACUCGCUGCUGGCGACAAAUCCUUCUUCAGCCCUUCAUUUGUAGAGCGACAAUCACGGACAGCGUGACUGCAGUCACACCACCGUGUCGCGUGACCUACUCUCGACACCAGACGUUCACUCCAUCAGUCACCGUGCACCCCGCCAUUGGUAGCUAGGCGACUGAAACAGCCAGUAGUCGCCACUAUACUAUACUAUACUAUACUUUACUUACUAUAUCCACGUCACUUUCAGUGAGGUCACCACAGAAACAGCCAGUAGUCAGAGCUGUUUGAUGUCACGUGACAACGUCCUGUGUUUUGUGAGUCACACCCUGUUUCAAGGGGUGCUCGUCAUGUUUGAUAACUUGAGGUUUUGCUCUCCUGCCAUUUACAAAUGGUUCUGUCUCGAGUUGGUCAGUGUCCUUAAACGGACCGACAGGAAAUGGUUUUAUUGAUCUCAUUUUGACAUGUACAGGGUUAAUUAUGAAUUACUUGGUUGAUCGUUCGGUUGAUUGGUUGGCUGACUGGCUAGUUUUGCUCCAAGCUACAGAAGAUAUUUGUUUGCCAAAAAAAGUAUUGUUUGAUCGCUGGCCUUGGCUGCAGUCUGUUUUUGAAUUGCGCUAUAUUUGAAAGAAAAGAAAAAAAGAAAAGAAAUUAUGAUAAUAUUGAAA